Molecule: long non-coding RNA, 303 nt
Organism: Bos taurus (domestic cattle)
Lineage: Eukaryota; Metazoa; Chordata; Mammalia; Artiodactyla; Bovidae
Source: Ensembl
GACUCAUUGGAAAAGACUCUGAUGCUGGAAGGAGUCAUUUACUGAGAACCUUUGAAACCUGCCACAGAGUGAGAAGUUGAGGUUGUGACAGAAGAAGCCUCAUAGAUCUCCUUGUCCUCUUGGAGCCAGGCUGCUUGGUCGGGAAGACAGGAAGCAGUGAGAACACAGGGAUCACGGCUCAGAGAAAGUGAGAAACUUACUAAAUAUACAGCCCAGCUUGGAGGAUUGUGUCUGUCAUUGCAGCUGUAUCCUUAGGCCUUUGCAUGGUGCCUGGCUGGGAACAAGUGCUCAGAAGAGUUGCCA